This 867-nucleotide long non-coding RNA is filed under the name Vulpes vulpes (red fox). RNAcentral's name for it is "lncRNA (ENSVVUG00000011622.1)". The record is from RNAcentral. Lineage: Eukaryota; Metazoa; Chordata; Mammalia; Carnivora; Canidae.
GUCCGAGCCAGCUCGCCCAAAGCCAUGGCCAGCAGGGCCAGGGGAGAGCGCCCCUUGCCUGGCCUCCCUCCGACAGCCACCACAGCCCCUCACGAAGCACCCCCCACCCCCCGGAAGGCAGGGGCAUCCAAACCUGAUGACACUGCCCCUUAUUUCCAUGAGCUUACAGUCCAGUGAUGUUUCCAGAAGACCUCCUUUCCGCUUCUUCACUGCAUCGAGUCCAUCCCAUCUAACACCAGACCUCCUCCAGGGGAUGUCAGGGCCUGUCCCUGCCUGACUUUCCUGAGAGCAGGGCCAAGACGAAGGCGCGAACCCAGGCGGCUGCCGCGUGCCCUUCAGGGUAUGCAAAUCUAUGUAACAGCAGACUAUACACGGGAGCCCAGAGUGAACCAGUGGACAUCUGAGACUGCUGGGGCGAGCCCUAGAAGGGGGUGAUCACCGCGUCGGUGGAUAGUGAUUUGGAAAGCUGACUCAGGUCACGGAGGAUGCGGGCUUGGCCCUGAGCGCCUGCUCCAGGCCAAAAGACAACUGGGCCGCCCUGGUCUCCGGGAUGGAGAAGUACUGCUGGGUUACUCCGAGGGACACCAACCGGCCGCUGUCCUCGGCUCACCCCGGUUCACCCGCCGGAGCGCUGUGCGCACGCUCGGGAACACCUCAUUUGAAGGCAGGCUCGGAGCCCCCCGCAUCUUGCCAGUUUGAUGUUUUUAGGUAUCAAAGGAAGGUCUCCAGGAACCCUGCAACUCAAGACUUUAAUGAGGACCAUGCCCGAGAAAUCCCGGCUGCCAGAGACAUGAUGAUGAUUUAUGUCGCUCACUCACUCCCUAACAGCGAGAGGACUAUUUGUAAAAAUAAAAAAAGCUGCUCAUA